GACGAACGCUGGCGGCGUGCUUAACACAUGCAAGUCGAACGGAAAGGCCCUGCUUUUGUGGGGUGCUCGAGUGGCGAACGGGUGAGUAACACGUGAGUAACCUGCCCUUGACUUUGGGAUAACUUCAGGAAACUGGGGCUAAUACCGGAUAGGAGCUCCUGCUGCAUGGUGGGGGUUGGAAAGUUUCGGCGGUUGGGGAUGGACUCGCGGCUUAUCAGCUUGUUGGUGGGGUAGUGGCUUACCAAGGCUUUGACGGGUAGCCGGCCUGAGAGGGUGACCGGCCACAUUGGGACUGAGAUAGGGCCCAGACUCUACGGGAGGCAGCAGUGGGGAAUAUUGCACAAUGGGCGGAAGCCUGAUGCAGCAACGCCGCGUGCGGGAUGACGGCCUUCGGGUUGUAAACCGCUUUCGCCUGUGACGAAGCGUGAGUGACGGUAAUGGGUAAAGAAGCACCGGCUAACUACGUG
This 467-nucleotide ribosomal RNA is filed under the name uncultured bacterium. RNAcentral's name for it is "partial 16S ribosomal RNA". It matches the Rfam family "Bacterial small subunit ribosomal RNA", at positions 28 to 507 of the family's 1533-position model. The record is from RNAcentral.